GGCCUAAUGGCCCAAUGGCAAGGCGCUUGACUACGAUCACGCAGUAAUCAAGAGAUUCCAGGUUGUAAGUAUUACUCCUCGCUCGCCCACGCUUCAAGUCUAACAAUUCUCCAGCGACCCCUGGUUAGGUCA
RNAcentral lists this transfer RNA (132 nucleotides) under Didymella glomerata. RNAcentral describes it as "tRNA-Arg". The record is from RNAcentral. Lineage: Eukaryota; Fungi; Ascomycota; Dothideomycetes; Pleosporales; Didymellaceae.